This 373-nucleotide ribosomal RNA is filed under the name uncultured eukaryote. RNAcentral's name for it is "SSU rRNA". It matches the Rfam family "Eukaryotic small subunit ribosomal RNA", at positions 587 to 972 of the family's 1831-position model. The record is from RNAcentral.
AGCUCCAAUAGCGUAUAUUAAAGUUGUUGCAGUUAAAAAGCUCGUAGUUGAAUUUGUGGGAGGUCAUGGAGUCCACACUGUUGGUAUUUUGUGACUUUUCAAUUUUGGACGUAUCCAGUGUGGCAUUAGGUUGUUGUGCUGGUGAUGUCCAUCGUUUACUGUGAAAAAAUCAGCGCGUUCAAAGCAGACUUAUGUCCUGAAUGUGUUAGCAUGGAAUAAUGAGAUAGGGCUCUGGUACUAUUUUGUUGGUUUGUGCACCGGAGCAAUGACUAAUAGGGACAGUUGGGGGUCUUCGUAUUGCAUUGUCAGAGGUGAAAUUCUUGGAUUUCUGCAAGACGAACUACUGCGAAAGCAUUGACCAAGGAUGUUUUCA